Molecule: transfer RNA, 87 nt
Filed under: uncultured Sphingomonadaceae bacterium
Lineage: Bacteria; Pseudomonadati; Pseudomonadota; Alphaproteobacteria; Sphingomonadales; Sphingomonadaceae
Description: tRNA-Ser-CGA
Rfam family: tRNA
About the family: Transfer RNA (tRNA) molecules are approximately 80 nucleotides in length. Their secondary structure includes four short double-helical elements and three loops (D, anti-codon, and T loops).
Source: RNAcentral
GGAGAGGUGGCUGAGUGGUCGAAAGCACCGCACUCGAAAUGCGACGUACCGGCAACGGUACCGAGGGUUCGAAUCCCUCCCUCUCCG